AACGAACGCUGGCGGCAGGCUUAACACAUGCAAGUCGAACGCAUCCUUCGGGGUGAGUGGCAGACGGGUGAGUAACGCGUGGGAACGUGCCCUUCAGUUCGGAAUAACCCAGGGAAACUUGGGCUAAUACCGGAUACGUGCGCGAGCAGAAAGAUUUAUCGCUGAAGGAUCGGCCCGCGUCUGAUUAGCUAGUUGGUGGGGUAAUGGCCUACCAAGGCGACGAUCAGUAGCUGGUCUGAGAGGAUGAUCAGCCACAUUGGGACUGAGACACGGCCCAAACUCGUACGGGAGGCAGCAGUGUGGAAUAUUGGACAAUGGGCGCAAGCCUGAUCCAGCCAUGCCGCGUGAGUGAUGACGGACUUAGGGUUGUAAAGCUCUUUCGUCCGGGACGAUAAUGACGGUACCGGAAGAAGAAGCCCCGGCUAACUUCGUGCCAGCAGCCGCAGUAA
RNAcentral lists this ribosomal RNA (449 nucleotides) under uncultured bacterium. RNAcentral's name for it is "partial 16S ribosomal RNA". It matches the Rfam family "Bacterial small subunit ribosomal RNA", at positions 29 to 523 of the family's 1533-position model. The record is from RNAcentral.